RNAcentral lists this ribosomal RNA (498 nucleotides) under uncultured bacterium. Its description in RNAcentral is "partial 16S ribosomal RNA". It matches the Rfam family "Bacterial small subunit ribosomal RNA", at positions 28 to 507 of the family's 1533-position model. The record is from RNAcentral.
GACGAACGCUGGCGGCGUGCCUAAUACAUGCAAGUCGAACGAGAGCGACCGGUGCUUGCACUGGUCAAUCUAGUGGCGAACGGGUGAGUAACACGUGGGUAACCUGCCCAUCAGAGGGGGAUAACAUCCGGAAACGGAUGCUAAAACCGCAUAGGUCUUCGAACCGCAUGGUUUGAAGAGGAAAAGAGGCGCAAGCUUCUGCUGAUGGAUGGACCCGCGGUGCAUUAGCUAGUUGGUGAGGUAACGGCUCACCAAGGCCGUGAUGCAUAGCCGACCUGAGAGGGUGAUCGGCCACAUUGGGACUGAGACACGGCCCAAACUCCUACGGGAGGCAGCAGUAGGGAAUCUUCCGCAAAGGACGCAAGUCUGACGGAGCAACGCCGCGUGAGUGAAGAAGGUUUUCGGAUCGUAAAACUCUGUUGUUAGAGAAGAACAAGUGCUAGAGUAACUGCUAGCGCCUUGACGGUAUCUAACCAGAAAGCCACGGCUAACUACGUG